UCAAAAAGGAAGUCAUCAAGAAGGUACUUGCUCAGUGUCAUAGUCCUAGGGAAUUGACAUGACAUUAGGACUUGGGUGAUUUCCCUCCAGGCCUAGAGAUUUACACCAAUAAUCCACCCUGGGCCAUUACGGACAUCUCUUAUGACACAAUGUGGCCCUCGUGGCCAACUACUAUUAUCUAACCUUUAAAAUAGAAUCAAUAGAAAAAACAUACAAGCUUGGCUUCAGCUUCAAUUGAGCCUUAGCAGGGUGCCCAGCCUUUACUUUUCCCCAUGCUUGAUGACUCUACCAGCCUAUAGUGAAGCCCAAUGCCCUAGUCAGUGUUAAUGAGGUGUUUUGUUCUCUUGCAGCUCUUAUGCUUGCCCACAUCUGUGUAAAUAUAUUGGCGAGAUUUUGUUUUAGUUCUUCAUGAUUAAAUGACAGCUUCUUUUCCAUAUAAUUUGGCAUCACCUAAUUUGUUGAGUUUGUUGGCCAUCUUCCUACAACCGUGUGUGUGUGUGUGUGUGUG
This 508-nucleotide unclassified non-coding RNA is filed under the name Hevea brasiliensis (rubber tree). The record is from RNAcentral. Lineage: Eukaryota; Viridiplantae; Streptophyta; Magnoliopsida; Malpighiales; Euphorbiaceae.